AAGUCGUAACAAGGUUUCCGUAGGUGAACCUGCGGAAGGAUCAUUAACGAAGUCUGGGGCCUCGGCCCUCUCUCUUCUACACACCUGUGAACAUACCCUGUUGCUUUGGCAGGUUUCCGGCGGACGGCUCCGAGCCGGUUUCGUCGGUCAGGCCGCAAGGCGCCUGCCAGAGACACUUUAUCCAACCUUUUCCUUUUGUCUGACUAUAGUUUAUUACAAACGUAACAAA
This 229-nucleotide unclassified non-coding RNA is filed under the name plant metagenome. Its description in RNAcentral is "partial contains small subunit ribosomal RNA and internal transcribed spacer 1". The stretch from base 1 to 46 matches the Rfam family "Eukaryotic small subunit ribosomal RNA", at positions 1786 to 1831 of the family's 1831-position model. The record is from RNAcentral.